UGGGGAAUAUUGCACAAUGGGCGCAAGCCUGAUGCAGCCAUGCCGCGUGUGUGAAGAAGGCCUUCGGGUUGUAAAGCACUUUCAGCGGGGAGGAAGGCGAUAAGGUUAAUAACCUUGUCGAUUGACGUUACCCGCAGAAGAAGCACCGGCUAACUCCGUGCCAGCAGCCGCGGUAAUACGGAGGGUGCAAGCGUUAAUCGGAAUUACUGGGCGUAAAGCGCACGCAGGCGGUCUGUCAAGUCGGAUGUGAAAUCCCCGGGCUCAACCUGGGAACUGCAUUCGAAACUGGCAGGCUAGAGUCUUGUGGAGGGGGGUAGAAUUCCAGGUGUAGCGGUGAAAUGCGUAGAGAUCUGGAGGAAUACCGGUGGCGAAGGCGGCCCCCUGGACAAAGACUGACGCUCAGGUGCGAAAGCGUGGGGAGCAAACAGG
RNAcentral lists this ribosomal RNA (429 nucleotides) under Chloroflexota bacterium. RNAcentral describes it as "Chloroflexi bacterium partial 16S ribosomal RNA". It matches the Rfam family "Bacterial small subunit ribosomal RNA", at positions 355 to 776 of the family's 1533-position model. The record is from RNAcentral. Lineage: Bacteria; Bacillati; Chloroflexota.